UACGGAGGGUGCAAGCGUUGUUCGGAAUUACUGGGCGUAAAGCGUGCGUAGGUGGCUUAUUAAGUCAAGCGUGAAAGCCCUGGGCUCAACCCAGGAACAGCGCUUGAUACUGGUAGGCUAGAGAUUCAGAGGGGUAAGUGGAAUUCCUAGUGUAGAAGUGAAAUUCGUAGAUAUUAGGAGGAACAUCAGUGGCGAAGGCGACUUACUGGCUGAAUACUGACACUAAUGCACGAAAGCGUGGGGAGCAAACAGG
This 253-nucleotide ribosomal RNA is filed under the name uncultured bacterium. Its description in RNAcentral is "partial 16S ribosomal RNA". It matches the Rfam family "Bacterial small subunit ribosomal RNA", at positions 524 to 776 of the family's 1533-position model. The record is from RNAcentral.